ACCUGAAUUACCUCCUUUUUGAUUUAGUGAGAAUUAGUGAGGGUUAAAAUUUCCUUUACAGUUUAUAUUGUUGCAAUGCAUCUGUUACCCAAAGAGGAAGAAGUGAGUAUAAUUUUCUUCUAUCCCGUGAACAUCUUGCAGGUAGUCCUCUUAAUUGUCACUAACAUGUAGUGGUGAUCCUUUGUCUUCUAUAUUUUGACUGAGAAGGUAAGGAUAGGUGAUCAGUGAUAGCACC
Molecule: long non-coding RNA, 235 nt
Filed under: Bos taurus (domestic cattle)
Lineage: Eukaryota; Metazoa; Chordata; Mammalia; Artiodactyla; Bovidae
Description: long non-coding RNA NONBTAT018404
Source: RNAcentral